Molecule: long non-coding RNA, 240 nt
Organism: Gadus morhua (Atlantic cod)
Lineage: Eukaryota; Metazoa; Chordata; Actinopteri; Gadiformes; Gadidae
Exons: 3
Source: RefSeq, a predicted model, not a curated record
AAAAGGUAAGCCUAUUAUUCAAGCCUAAUAUCUAUGAUGGUCAUGCUGAAUGAUGGUGACUGCUAUCCUAUUGCUGUUGUCCUGACAUGCUUCUAUCUUAUUUAUCACUUCAUAGCAUGGAGUGCAACUGCUCAAAGAUUGAUGGAAAGGUUGAAACCUACUUUGAAAGAGGUCCCCAACAGAGAUGAACAACAAACUUCUCAAUGAAUGACCGUUUGAUCUUUUAACGUUUUCAGCAGG